UGCGCCUUGCCAGCCCGCUCAGAAACUUAAAGGAAUUGACGGGGGCCCGCACAAGCAGCGGAGCGUGUGGUUUAAUUCGACGCAACGCGAAGAACCUUACCUGGGCUAGACAACGGUGGACAUCCCCAGAGAUGGGGCUUCCCUUCGGGGACUGCCGGUUCAGGUGCUGCAUGGCUGUCGUCAGCUCGUGUCGUGAGAUGUUGGGUUAAGUCCCGCAACGAGCGCAACCCCCGCCUUUAGUUGCUACCGGGUCAUGCCGAGCACUCUAAAGGGACCGCCGGCGUUAAGCCGGAGGAAGGUGGGGAUGACGUCAAGUCCUCAUGGCCCUUAUGUCCAGGGCUACACACGUGCUACAAUGGGCGGUACAGAGGGUUGCCAACCCGCGAGGGGGAGCCAAUCCCAGAAAGCCGGCCUCAGUUCAGAUUGCAGGCUGCAACUCGCCUGCAUGAAGCUGGAGUUGCUAGUAAACGCGCGUCAGCUAUAGUGCGUUGAAUACGUUCUCGGGCCUU
Molecule: ribosomal RNA, 509 nt
Filed under: uncultured delta proteobacterium
Lineage: Bacteria; Deltaproteobacteria
Description: bacterial SSU rRNA
Rfam family: Bacterial small subunit ribosomal RNA
Source: RNAcentral